GNAGGGUGCAAGCGUUAAUCGGAANNACUGGGCGUAAAGCGUGCGCAGGCGGUNGGGUAAGACAGAUGUGAAAUCCCCGAGCNNAACCUGGGAACUGCAUUUGUGACUGUCCGACUGGAGUACGUCAGAGGGGGGUGGAAUUCCACGUGUAGCAGUGAAAUGCGUAGAUAUGUGGAAGAACACCGAUGGCGAAGGCAGCCCCCUGGGACGCAACUGACGCUCAUGCACGAAAGCGUGGGGAGCAAACAGGAUUAGAUACCCUGGUAGUCCACGCCCUAAACGAUGUCUGCUGGUUGUUGGGAAUUUAAUUCUCAGUAACGAAGCCAACGCGUGAAGCAGACCGCCUGGGGAGU
This 353-nucleotide ribosomal RNA is filed under the name uncultured bacterium. RNAcentral describes it as "bacterial SSU rRNA". It matches the Rfam family "Bacterial small subunit ribosomal RNA", at positions 527 to 881 of the family's 1533-position model. The record is from RNAcentral.